Molecule: long non-coding RNA, 867 nt
Filed under: Phoenix dactylifera (date palm)
Lineage: Eukaryota; Viridiplantae; Streptophyta; Magnoliopsida; Arecales; Arecaceae
Description: long non-coding RNA (PDAC_LNC011155)
Source: RNAcentral
ACUCGGGAGGUUUACUUUUUACUUGUGGGGACGACUCCGCUUACUAUGGAGACGACUCGCGCAUAUCACUUAAAAUCGGCCUUUCUGCCGCCUCUGAGAGAGUCGACUCCGCUACUGAGAGAGUCGACUCCGCUAUCGCGGGGACGACUCGGCAGGUGCCGGGGACGUCUCCAGUCGUGCCAGUUCUUCCUGUUUGUGCCAGAGACGUCUCAGAGACAACCCGGAGACGUCUCGGCUGUCCCUGAUCUGUUUUCUUCAGCUCAAAACUUCUUCAAUAAAUUCAUAAAAUUAUGGAAACUUGCCUAGACAUUUCUUAACAAUAUUCUUAAUUAAACACAUGAAAUCCUCAAGUAAAUUGUUAAGAUAAAUGAAAUUAUACUCUAGUGUUUUGUAUUCAUCAAAAUCCAUUAGGAGGUCAACAGAAAGGAAAAAAAACCUUCGUAUUAUGCAUAUAGUUGGGGUGUGAAUGUAAACUAACUUGAGACAGAUGUAAAGUUUGUUAUGUUUUGAGCUAUGUAUAGUAGACUUUAAGUUAUAAAUGAAAGCUUGGGUUGCUUUUAGUUAUGAUUAAAGUGAGUUAAAUAAAUUAAACUGACAGGUUUAGGAUGUAUUGAUUUUAUUGGUUGGUUGGAUAUAGUAAUUGACAGGUUUUUAAUAGUAACUUGUGAACCGCGGCACAAGCUGCUAAUAGAAACUCUGCUCGGUACUGUACCCGACUAACCUACUGUGGGAGGGGAUCUCACAGAAUUCAUAAGGAUUGGAAGCAAGAAAAAUUUUUAGAAGCAAAAAAGAAGAGAAAGAAAAAAAAUUCUGAACUUGGGUCGACCCAACCCAGAAUAGGGUCGACCCAACGUUGAGUCGACCCAA